UUAAUACCGCAUACGACCUGAGGGUGAAAGCGGGGGAUCGCAAGACCUCGCGCGAUGGGAGCGGCCGAUAUCGGAUUAGCUUGUUGGUGAGGUAAAGGCUCACCAAGGCGACGAUCCGUAGCUGGUCUGAGAGGACGACCAGCCACACUGGAACUGAGACACGGUCCAGACUCCUACGGGAGGCAGCAGUGGGGAAUUUUGGACAAUGGGGGCAACCCUGAUCCAGCCAUUCCGCGUGAGUGAAGAAGGCCUUCGGGUUGUAAAGCUCUUUCAGCAGGAACGAAACGGUGGCCACUAAUACUGGCUACUAAUGACGGUACCUGAAGAAGAAGCACCGGCUAACUACGUG
RNAcentral lists this ribosomal RNA (349 nucleotides) under uncultured bacterium. RNAcentral's name for it is "bacterial SSU rRNA". It matches the Rfam family "Bacterial small subunit ribosomal RNA", at positions 163 to 507 of the family's 1533-position model. The record is from RNAcentral.